GGCGAACGGGUGAGUAACGCGUGAGCAAUCUACCUUAGUUACAGGGUAUAGCCCGAGGAAACUCGGAUUAAUACCUGAUAUUCUUUAUUUCUCGCAUGAGAAUAAAAGGAAAGGUCAGCCGAACUAAGAUGAGCUCGCGUUCUAUCAGCUAGUCGGUGAGGUAAAAGCUUACCAAGGCUACGACGGAUAGCUGGUCUGAGAGGACGAUCAGCCACACUGGGACUGAGACACGGCCCAGACUCCUACGGGAGGCUGCAGCAGGGAAUAUUGUGCAAUGAACGAAAGUUUGACACAGCGACACCGCGUGUGGGAUGACGGAUCUAGGGUCGUAAAGCUCUUUCGCCUGUGAUGAUAAUGACAGUAGCAGGUAAAGAAACCCCGGCUAACUCCGUGCCAGCAGCCGCGGUAAUACGGAGGGGGUUAGCGUUGUUCGGAAUUACUGGGCGUAAAGCGCGC
This 456-nucleotide ribosomal RNA is filed under the name uncultured bacterium. Its description in RNAcentral is "bacterial SSU rRNA". It matches the Rfam family "Bacterial small subunit ribosomal RNA", at positions 97 to 570 of the family's 1533-position model. The record is from RNAcentral.